GAACAAUUAUGGUUGGAAAUUCUACAUCCUUAGGAGUCGUUUGAUAUGAGGUAUUAAUUAUUAGAUAUAAUAGUCAAGAAAAAUAAAAUGCAAGAUUAUAUUGUCCUGCAUUUGGUUAGAGGUAUUAGGCUGACUUGAAAUAACUUAUUCUUGAAUAACCUAAUUCCAACCAAACAACCACCGGGCGUUUGCAAUAGCAAUUACAACCGAUUUUUGACUCGCCCAUAAUGACCAUCCUGAAAUAACUUAUCCCAAGAUAACGUAUUUGCAACCAAACAACCGCCGAGCAUUUGCAAUAGCAAUUCCAAUCGAUUUUUGACUCGCCAAUAAUAAACCCAUAUUCUACAAGCAUUUUCCAAGAAAGACU
RNAcentral lists this unclassified non-coding RNA (367 nucleotides) under Hevea brasiliensis (rubber tree). The record is from RNAcentral. Lineage: Eukaryota; Viridiplantae; Streptophyta; Magnoliopsida; Malpighiales; Euphorbiaceae.